This 200-nucleotide ribosomal RNA is filed under the name uncultured bacterium. RNAcentral describes it as "partial 16S ribosomal RNA". It matches the Rfam family "Bacterial small subunit ribosomal RNA", at positions 28 to 231 of the family's 1533-position model. The record is from RNAcentral.
GACGAACGCUGGCGGCGUGCUUAACACAUGCAAGUCGAGCGGAAAGGCCACUUCGGUGGUGCUCGAGCGGCGAACGGGUGAGUAACACGUGAGUAAUCUGCCCUUGGCUUCGGGAUAGCCACUGGAAACGGUGAUUAAUACCGGAUAUGACAAUGCCAUGCAUGUGGUGUUGUGGAAAGUUUUUCGGCCAGGGAUGUGCU